Molecule: ribosomal RNA, 765 nt
Filed under: uncultured Streptococcus sp.
Lineage: Bacteria; Bacillati; Bacillota; Bacilli; Lactobacillales; Streptococcaceae
Description: bacterial SSU rRNA
Rfam family: Bacterial small subunit ribosomal RNA
Source: RNAcentral
GACGAACGCUGGCGGCGUGCCUAAUACAUGCAAGUAGAACGCUGAAGAGAGGAGCUUGCUCUUCUUGGACGAGUUGCGAACGGGUGAGUAACGCGUAGGUAACCUGCCUUGUAGCGGGGGAUAACUAUUGGAAACGAUAGCUAAUACCGCAUAACAAUAGGUGACACAUGUCAUUUAUUUGAAAGGGGCAAUUGCUCCACUACAAGAUGGACCUGCGUUGUAUUGGCUAGUAGGUGAGGUAACGGCUCACCUAGGCGACGAUACAUAGCCGACCUGAGAGGGUGAUCGGCCACACUGGGACUGAGACACGGCCCAGACUCCUACGGGAGGCAGCAGUAGGGAAUCUUCGGCAAUGGGGGCAACCCUGACCGAGCAACGCCGCGUGAGUGAAGAAGGUUUUCGGAUCGUAAAGCUCUGUUGUAAGUCAAGAACGAGUGUGAGAGUGGAAAGUUCACACUGUGACGGUAGCUUACCAGAAAGGGACGGCUAACUACGUGCCAGCAGCCGCGGUAAUACGUAGGUCCCGAGCGUUGUCCGGAUUUAUUGGGCGUAAAGCGAGCGCAGGCGGUUUGAUAAGUCUGAAGUUAAAGGCUGUGGCUCAACCAUAGUUCGCUUUGGAAACUGUCAAACUUGAGUGCAGAAGGGGAGAGUGGAAUUCCAUGUGUAGCGGUGAAAUGCGUAGAUAUAUGGAGGAACACCGGUGGCGAAAGCGGCUCUCUGGUCUGUAACUGACGCUGAGGCUCGAAAGCGUGGGGAGCGAACAGG